CCCAGGGAAAAAGGGACAUGUGGCCAACAGCCCUGAUUCUCCAACCUCGUCUCCAACUGGGCAGGGCGUGCUUACCUGUGGGCCAGGGCCUGGAGCUGGGCAGGGCCCCCAGGGCAGUUCAGACGGCAAUGGGUAUAGGUGGUCGCCAGCAGCUCCAGCCAGUGGUGUGGGUGCAGCUCCAGGUAGCACAGCAAAGUCUCGAUGGCUGGGGGCAGAGCAGGGCUCAGCGGACGCGGGGACAGCCCCUCCACACCCCUGUGGCUUACCCCAGGUUCGGAGGAGCGCAGCGAUCCGCUCUGUGUCCUCGCGCCGGUUGCAGUAAAUGAUAAUGGAAUCGA
Long non-coding RNA from Homo sapiens (human), 338 nucleotides. Lineage: Eukaryota; Metazoa; Chordata; Mammalia; Primates; Hominidae. The record is from Ensembl.